CCUACGGGAGUCUGCAGUGGGGAAUAUUGGACAAUGGGCGAAAGCCUGAUCCAGCCAUGCCGCGUGUGUGAAGAAGGCCUUCGGGUUGUAAAGCACUUUCAGUGGGGAAGAAAGCCUUGGGGCUAAUACCCUCGAGGAAGGACAUCACCCACAGAAGAAGCACCGGCUAACUCCGUGCCAGCAGCCGCGGUAAUACGGAGGGUGCGAGCGUUAAUCGGAAUUACUGGGCGUAAAGCGCGCGUAGGCGGUCUGAUAAGCCGGUUGUGAAAGCCCCGGGCUCAACCUGGGAACGGCAUCCGGAACUGUCAGGCUAGAGUGCAGGAGAGGAAGGUAGAAUUCCCGGUGUAGCGGUGAAAUGCGUAGAGAUCGGGAGGAAUACCAGUGGCGAAGGCGGCCUUCUGGACUGACACUGACGCUGAGGUGCGACAGCGUGGGUAGCAAACAGGAUUAGAUACCCGAGUAGUC
RNAcentral lists this ribosomal RNA (465 nucleotides) under Vreelandella stevensii. RNAcentral describes it as "partial 16S ribosomal RNA". It matches the Rfam family "Bacterial small subunit ribosomal RNA", at positions 338 to 795 of the family's 1533-position model. Lineage: Bacteria; Pseudomonadati; Pseudomonadota; Gammaproteobacteria; Oceanospirillales; Halomonadaceae. The record is from RNAcentral.